GUGCUGUCAUGACAGCACAUAUAUUAACACUGGAGCAAUACAGAGAAGAUCAGCAUAACUCCCCCGACAAAAAUGACCGGAAAAAUUGUGAAGCACGUCAUAAACAA
Small nuclear RNA from Sorex araneus (European shrew), 107 nucleotides. Lineage: Eukaryota; Metazoa; Chordata; Mammalia; Eulipotyphla; Soricidae. The record is from Ensembl.